CCCUUAGAUGUUCUGGGCCGCACGCGCGCUACACUGACGAUGGCAACGAGUUUUUCCUUCGCCGAAAGGUGUGGGUAAUCUUUUGAAACAUCGUCGUGCUGGGGAUAGAUCAUUGCAAUUUUUGAUCUUGAACGAGGAAUUCCUAGUAAGCGCGAGUCUUCAGCUCGCGUUGAUUACGUCCCUGCCCUUUGUACACACCGCCCGUCGCUACUACCGAUUGAAUGGUUUAGUGAGGACUCCUGAUUGGCGCCGCCGCCCCGGCAACGGAGCAGCGGACUGCCGAAAAGUUGUUCAAACUUGAUCAUUUAGAGGAAGUAAAAGUCGUAACA
This 329-nucleotide ribosomal RNA is filed under the name uncultured eukaryote. Its description in RNAcentral is "partial 18S ribosomal RNA". It matches the Rfam family "Eukaryotic small subunit ribosomal RNA", at positions 1470 to 1796 of the family's 1831-position model. The record is from RNAcentral.